Molecule: long non-coding RNA, 558 nt
Filed under: Daphnia pulicaria
Lineage: Eukaryota; Metazoa; Arthropoda; Branchiopoda; Diplostraca; Daphniidae
Description: uncharacterized LOC124319843, transcript variant X2
Source: RNAcentral
CUGUUCGUGUACUAAACUAAUAGCACCAUGCUAAUAGGAUUUCAUCACGUUUUGUCGUCGAUCUUCAGAUUUUCACUUGUGAUUUCGAAUAUUGUAAUCGGGAUUAAUAUACUGACUUGAGCUGAGCUGGUGCCUUCGAGCAGACGAUUGGAGAACUCGGUUUUAAGGUGCCGGCUUCUUUUUCCACACUAUAGUGAUGUCCAAGAUAUGUAAGGAGGAUUAGACAAGGGCCUGUUUACCGACUUGCGAAGAUAAAUGCUAAAUCACAAGGGACAUCACCCCUGCUGGAGAUGAGCCAUUGAAUUUACUUUUGUCCAGGGAUCGUCACCUGCAUUGCCAUGAGCCGCUGGCCAAGGUAGGACACUUUAUUGUUAUGUUUCCACCUUCUUGUUAUUGUUCCCGUUUAACACUGCACUUCUUCGUUUGUUUUCCCGUUCUCCUUGCGUCGUCUUGAGGACACUUUGCAAUUUUGAUGUUGAAUUUUCGCAUUAGUUUUCUGUUGAUGACCUUCAGCUGUCAAUACCACCAGCCUCCAUAAAAUUUGAUUUAUAAAAUGUC